CUGAAACGAUUGUUGUUGUUUUGGCAGGUGAAGAUAUUGAAUUCGUGCUGAAAAAUGCACUUCUCCUGUUUUAUCCAGCAAAGAGUUACUGUCUAUCCCACAUGCAAGGCCGAUGGCGUCGAAAUGAUGAAACUAUGGUUGUAGUAAGGGAACCAUACUUUCAAACGCUUGCGAAAGGACUAACUGAUGAUGUUCUUAGUGGUCAUUUGGACACUACAUUUCAAAGCCAAUCCUUACAUAAUAUUGGAUACGAAAAAUGCCAUGUUAUAAUCUAUAUUUAUCACACGCGC
This 290-nucleotide long non-coding RNA is filed under the name Mytilus galloprovincialis (Mediterranean mussel). Lineage: Eukaryota; Metazoa; Mollusca; Bivalvia; Mytilida; Mytilidae. The record is from RNAcentral.